Molecule: ribosomal RNA, 410 nt
Filed under: uncultured microorganism
Description: bacterial SSU rRNA
Rfam family: Bacterial small subunit ribosomal RNA
Source: RNAcentral
CAGCCGCCGCGGUAAUACGUAGGGGGCGAGCGUUGUCCGGACUUAUUGGGCGUAAAGCGCGCGCAGGCGGUCCUUUAAGUCUGAUGUGAAAGCCCACGGCUCAACCGUGGAGGGUCAUUGGAAACUGGGGGGCUUGAGUGCAGGAGAGGAGAGCGGAAUUCCACGUGUAGCGGUGAAAUGCGUAGAGAUGUGGAGGAACACCAGUGGCGAAGGCGGCUCUCUGGCCUGUAACUGACGCUGAGGCGCGAAAGCGUGGGGAGCAAACAGGAUUAGAUACCCUGGUAGUCCACGCCGUAAACGAUGAGUGCUAAGUGUUAGAGGGGUCACACCCUUUAGUGCUGUAGCUAACGCGAUAAGCACUCCGCCUGGGGAGUACGGCCGCAAGGCUGAAACUUAAAGCAAUUGGCGGG